Long non-coding RNA from Cylas formicarius (sweet potato weevil), 1946 nucleotides. RefSeq lists it as uncharacterized. NCBI's taxonomy places the organism in Eukaryota, Metazoa, Arthropoda, Insecta, Coleoptera, Brentidae. The record is from RefSeq and is a predicted model, not a curated record. The transcript is spliced from 3 exons.
UUUUGCUUUUUAGACAACUUGUUUAUCUGGUUGUGCUUUUUACCUAUGAGAAGGAAAUUUUCAUUUAUAUAAGAAAAGCUCUUAAAUUUUAUUAAGCAUAAAUAUAAAUAUAAACUACAAAAACCACCGCCUGCUUAAGACAACAACAUUACCUAAGUGUCAACUGUAGCACUGUGGCCAAUGACAUUUCCGAAAUUUCUACAUUGUUAUGAACAUGGUAAGUAACAAUAUUGUUAAACGAUAGAAACAUGGCUAUGUAAAACAAUAAAAAUAGUAGUUAUCAGACGGGACCGUAACUAACACUGCUAGUGGCAAAUGUCUGAUCGGUUUCAUUUUUAACAUUUGUUUCGCUAAAACGAAAAAGAAGAAAUUCAUUGACCAUAACCUAUCGUAAUUAACCUACGUCCUAGCCGCGUUUUAUUUGUUUCUUAUUUUCCUAUACCAAUUUGAAAAUGUAGGAACAAAAAAAAGUUUAGUGGAAAACAAAUAACUUGAUAUAUCUGGGCAAGAGGUUGGCUAACUGUUCUGGAACAUGACGACCACCGCGACCAUAAAUAUUGACACCGACGAAGAAAUAAAAACUGCUGAAAUUGUUCCAUAAAUAUACCAUUUAUUUCCCCGCAAUUUUUAGACAAUAUUUAGACUGCAACACAGUCAUUUUAAGUUGUCCAUGGAACGCCGUGUUUCGUUUUUAGUUCUUCGUCACAUUCUCUCCCAAGAAAACUGUGCAUACGUCGUUUCACACAAAUGGGAAAUUUGUUAUUGAACAUAGUCGAAAUUGUACCCCCUUAAAAUACAAUAUAUUAAAAAUGUCGUAUUGUUGCGCUAAUAGUUUUUCCAAAAAUUCGCUUUAUAAUACGUCAGUGCGAACGGUUCGGUAAAAUAUUUCCAAGCAUUUUCUAAAAAGUAAAGAGGAGUUUAUAAAAAAGAAACUGCUUGAAUACACUGUACAGGAGCAGAGAAACAGGAACCAAAAUGGUAAAGAUCUUGAAAAACGACGAGGACAUGGAUAGAAGCUGAAAAUUUAGCUAGGCUUGAAGCUUUUGAUAGAUAAUUAACUAGAUUGUAUGUAAAAAUGCCUCCCUUACACUCUGUGGGUUGAAAGGGACUAAAUACUAGAGUUGUGUCAAUCGCGAUUAAUUCGGUCACUUUGAUUCAAUUACUUCAUAGGAUCGAAAGACCGAACUCCGCUUGUUCGUAACGAUUCGAUCACUUUUGCCGCUGUCGCUGCCGCCCCGACCGGUCUGAAGUGACCGAAUAUAGGACGACCGUACCAAAACAUAUCGAAUUCGCCUUGCGGAAUACGAUUGAUUUAAAUGGUUUAAGAUUUAAAUAGACCGCGGAAAAGGAAUGGCAGUAUUGUUAUAAUUAUUCUAUAGUAUCGACAUCUAUUGGUAGAUUUGCUAAUGUGUUGAAUUGAAUAUUGAAUGAAAUAUCUAUUUCCGCACAGGUAUUUAAUUUAUACAAAUUAAUAUACUACUAGUACAACCCAAUACGUAGCACCUAUUUUGAUAAAAUCAUGAUACAAUAAAGAGCAGAACAUAGCUAAAUAUUAUACCAACUAGAACAGAAAACAUGACAUAUAGACACAACAACGAUUGGAACUCAAAUGAAUCUGAAUCGGUCUUUCGGACUCUUCGGAUUCAGUGACUAUUGCCACUUAUGUUGGCAACAAAAAGUAUUGAUAUGAACGAUUGAUUGAAAUGAUUCGGUCUUUUUCGAAAUCAGUCACUGAUUGAUUCGUCCCUCGUAAAAUGGACGAUUGACACAACACUACUAGAUACGGUGUUUUUCCAUCGUCCCUCAGUCAUAUUUAUUAUGUAAUGACUCAUACCUAGCGUUUCACAGACUCGUGAUGUAUGAAAUAUCGGCUUGGUGAGCGAAUUGAUUGUAAAUGCGGUUUAUACGAGGUGAUUAAAUUAGGAAUGUGCAAGCCACGCGGUGCU